This 458-nucleotide ribosomal RNA is filed under the name uncultured bacterium. RNAcentral describes it as "bacterial SSU rRNA". It matches the Rfam family "Bacterial small subunit ribosomal RNA", at positions 29 to 533 of the family's 1533-position model. The record is from RNAcentral.
AACGAACGCUGGCGGCAGGCCUAACACAUGCAAGUCGAGCGCCCCAGCGAUGGGAGCGGCGGACGGGUGAGUAACGCGUGGGAACGUGCCUCUUGCUACGGAAUAGCCUCGGGAAACUGGGAGUAAUACCGUAUGUGCCCUACGGGGGAAAGAUUUAUCGGCAAGAGAUCGGCCCGCGUUGGAUUAGGUAGUUGGUGGGGUAAUGGCCUACCAAGCCGACGAUCCAUAGCUGGUUUGAGAGGAUGAUCAGCCACACUGGGACUGAGACACGGCCCAGACUCCUACGGGAGGCAGCAGUGGGGAAUCUUAGACAAUGGGCGCAAGCCUGAUCUAGCCAUGCCGCGUGAGCGAUGAAGGCCUUAGGGUUGUAAAGCUCUUUCAGUGGGGAAGAUAAUGACUGUACCCACAGAAGAAGCCCCGGCUAACUCCGUGCCAGCAGCCGCGGUAAAGUACAGUGU